GGCGGGUUGGCGUAAUGGUAACGCGCUAGUUUCCGGUUGUGGGAUCGCUAGAGAUUCUGAGUUCGAGUCUCAGGCUCGUCG
Transfer RNA from Serpula lacrymans var. lacrymans S7.3, 81 nucleotides. It matches the Rfam family "tRNA". From Rfam's summary of the family: Transfer RNA (tRNA) molecules are approximately 80 nucleotides in length. Their secondary structure includes four short double-helical elements and three loops (D, anti-codon, and T loops). Lineage: Eukaryota; Fungi; Basidiomycota; Agaricomycetes; Boletales; Serpulaceae. The record is from Rfam.